UGAACGCGAAGAACCUUACCAGGUCUUGACAUCCUCUGACACUCCUAGAGAUAGGACUCUUCCCCUUCGGGGGACAGAGUGACAGGUGGUGCAUGGUUGUCGUCAGCUCGUGUCGUGAGAUGUUGGGUUAAGUCCCGCAACGAGCUCAACCCUUGAUCUUAGUUGCCAGCAUUCAGUUGGGCACUCUAAGGUGACUGCCGGUGACAAACCGGAGGAAGGUGGGGAUGACGUCAAAUCAUCAUGCCCCUUAUGACCUGGGCUACACACGUGCUACAAUGGAUGGUACAAAGGGCUGCAAAACCGCAAGGUCGAGCCAAUCCCAUAAAACCAUUCUCAGUUCGGAUUGCAGGCUGCAACUCGCCUGCAUGAAGCCGGAAUCGCUAGUAAUCGCGGAUCAGCAUGCCGCGGUGAAUACGUUCCCGGGUCUUGUACACACGCA
RNAcentral lists this ribosomal RNA (439 nucleotides) under bacterium CPTAC18B. RNAcentral's name for it is "bacterial SSU rRNA". It matches the Rfam family "Bacterial small subunit ribosomal RNA", at positions 956 to 1394 of the family's 1533-position model. The record is from RNAcentral.